RNAcentral lists this long non-coding RNA (482 nucleotides) under Mytilus galloprovincialis (Mediterranean mussel). Lineage: Eukaryota; Metazoa; Mollusca; Bivalvia; Mytilida; Mytilidae. The record is from RNAcentral.
GUUGCUUUUAUCUGUUACAACUAGUAUGUUGUUCUUCGACAAAGGAUUUUAAUUGCCACUUAAGCAUCGUCAACUAUAUCAAUCUGAUGUAUACUUCCUAAUUAGAUAAUAAAUUGAAUGGUAUCCAUCACGUGACUGUUCCUUGGAUGCCUUGAGAUAAACUCGUCUUUUGGUAACAAGUCCCGACUAUGGUAUUCCUAUGUGUAUUCUACCUACACACGUAUAGUGUAGACGAAACGAGCGUCUGACGUAUUAAAUUAUAAUCCUGGUAUACCUUUGAUAUAACCUGCCAUCAUUACCGAACUGAACAAAGUAAUGACACGACAUGUGCCGUAUACGGUGCAUGAAAUGCUCACCCUUCCGGAGCACCUGAUUUAAAUCCCGGGUUUUAGUGGAGUUCAUGUUGUUUCUUAUUUAUUAUUUAAACCUGUUGAUCAUUUGUUGAUGUAAUUAUCUUUUGGUUUGUUGAGUCCUUGUUUACU